Helianthus annuus (common sunflower) is the source of this 686-nucleotide long non-coding RNA. RefSeq lists it as uncharacterized. Lineage: Eukaryota; Viridiplantae; Streptophyta; Magnoliopsida; Asterales; Asteraceae. The transcript has 3 exons. The record is from RefSeq and is a predicted model, not a curated record.
UAGCUAGAGGUGGAAAUACCAAGUUUGAGAGAAAAGAAAGGUUUGAAAUCAUCGAUUCUAAGAUUAGUAAAGAUCGAUCCAAGUACACGUACGGAUCACAGAAAGAUCAAUCAAUUGAGAACUAGAUUAAUGCAGGAAAUUUUGUUUGAGAAAAGGUUCAUCUUCCUUGGUGCCCGGGCAUCAUUUACCCUGUACCGCCAUUGGAUGGUAAAAGGGUUGAAUCUUUGGGAACAAUCACAAAGUAUGAUGAUUUGCAUUUUGUCGAGAAGGAAGAUGGUAACUACAGUCAAGUGUUGACUUCUACAUGUGGAGGGGCACCUAAUUUUGUUGUGCAUCCUCGAAAUGAUGAGAGUGCUUUGGUGCAUUUCAGUGAAAGAGCUUGAACGGAAACUCGGUGAUCGCCGGACUCUAAAAAUCCAAAUCGGUGGGGUUCGAGCUCUUAAAAAUCUAAUAUUUUACACUACAAACAACAAAUUUUCAGAAAUUAACACUACACGCGAAAAUCGACGGGGCUGGGGCACCCCCGGGCCGCCAUUAUCCUCCGCCCAUGGGUGCAGACAAAGGUUUAUAUGAAUUGUAACUUCUUUGUUAGUUUUAUUUAAUGGUGUUAUUUGGGUCUGUGUUUUGUGAAUCUUGUUAAACAUGUCGUAUUAUUAGUGUUAUUACUUAUAUUUACCAACGUUAAA